ACCUGGCUGGCUCAGCUGGUGGAGCUUGUGACUCUUGAUCUCAGGGUUGUGAGUUUAAGCCCCACAUUGGGUA
RNAcentral lists this transfer RNA (73 nucleotides) under Ailuropoda melanoleuca (giant panda). It matches the Rfam family "tRNA". From Rfam's summary of the family: Transfer RNA (tRNA) molecules are approximately 80 nucleotides in length. Their secondary structure includes four short double-helical elements and three loops (D, anti-codon, and T loops). Lineage: Eukaryota; Metazoa; Chordata; Mammalia; Carnivora; Ursidae. The record is from Rfam by way of RNAcentral.